AAGUCGUAACAAGGUUUCCGUAGGUGAACCUGCGGAAGGAUCAUUAAUGAAAUGUUAGGACGCUCUUUUUACAGGUCCGACCCAAUUCAUUUUACCUUUCACUCUGUGCACAUCACUACUUUUUUACACCCAUUUUUAACACGUAAAAGUCAUAAGAAUGUAAAACAAGUCUCUUAACUGAGCAUAAACACAAACAAAACUUUCAGCAACGGAUCUCUUGGCUCUCCCA
RNAcentral lists this unclassified non-coding RNA (229 nucleotides) under Sakaguchia dacryoidea. RNAcentral describes it as "partial internal transcribed spacer region". The stretch from base 1 to 46 matches the Rfam family "Eukaryotic small subunit ribosomal RNA", at positions 1786 to 1831 of the family's 1831-position model. Lineage: Eukaryota; Fungi; Basidiomycota; Cystobasidiomycetes; Sakaguchiales; Sakaguchiaceae. The record is from RNAcentral.